CCUACGGGAGGCUGCAGUCGAGAAUCAUUCACAAUGGGGGAAACCCUGAUGGUGCGACGCCGCGUGGGGGAAUGAAGGUCUUCGGAUUGUAAACCCCUGUCAUGUGGGAGCAAAUUAAAAAGAUAGUACCACAAGAGGAAGAGACGGCUAACUCUGUGCCAGCAGCCGCGGUAAUACAGAGGUCUCAAGCGUUGUUCGGAAUCACGGGGCGUAAAGCGUGCGUAGGCUGUUACGUAGGUCGUGUGUGAAAGGCGAGGGCUCAACCCGCGGACGGCACAUGAUACUGCGAGACUAGAGUAAUGGAGGGGGAACCGGAAUUCUCGGUGUAGCAGUGAAAUGCGUAGAUAUCGAGAGGAACACUCGUGGCGAAGGCGGGUUCCUGGACAUUAACUGACGCUGAGGCACGAAGGCCAGGGGAGCGAAAGGGAUUAGAUACCCCGGUAGUC
RNAcentral lists this ribosomal RNA (446 nucleotides) under uncultured bacterium. Its description in RNAcentral is "partial 16S ribosomal RNA". It matches the Rfam family "Bacterial small subunit ribosomal RNA", at positions 338 to 795 of the family's 1533-position model. The record is from RNAcentral.